Molecule: long non-coding RNA, 324 nt
Organism: Carassius carassius (crucian carp)
Lineage: Eukaryota; Metazoa; Chordata; Actinopteri; Cypriniformes; Cyprinidae
Exons: 3
Source: RefSeq, a predicted model, not a curated record
CUUUGGCACUCAGCGCAGUCUACCAUUACCUUAGUGGGAUUAGCUCCCCUCAGUACCUUAGUGCCUGUGUUGGGGUCCUGUUCACCCUGUCCCAGGACAGGACCUCACCUGAAGUUCAGAUGUGGGCUGUCCAUGCUCUUUUCAUGGUUGUGGAUCUAGCAGGCCCUUUGUACCACAGUCACUUGGAGGCUUGUUUCAAUCUGCUGCUACCUUUGCUGCUCUCAACGCCACAUACACAUGUGGAAGUACAGCAAAGCCUGGGCCGCUGAUUUAACGCCCUCAUCACCUCCAUGGGACAUGAUAUGCAAGGUGAGGGUGCAGGUG